GCCGGGUGUGGUGGUGCGCACCUGUAAUCCCAGCUACUCAGGAGGCUGAGGCAGGAGAAUCGCUUUAACCAGGGAGGUGGAGGUUGCAGUGAGCUGAGAUCAUGCCACUGCACUCCAGCCUGGGCAACAGAGCGAGACUCUGUCUCAA
This 148-nucleotide small RNA is filed under the name Macaca mulatta (Rhesus monkey). RNAcentral's name for it is "Metazoan signal recognition particle RNA (ENSMMUG00000064318.1)". The record is from Rfam by way of RNAcentral. Lineage: Eukaryota; Metazoa; Chordata; Mammalia; Primates; Cercopithecidae.